CCUACGGGAGGCAGCAGUGAGGAAUAUUGGUCAAUGGGCGCGAGCCUGAACCAGCCAAGUCGCGUGAGGGAAGACGGUCCUAUGGAUUGUAAACCUCUUUUGUCGGGGAGCAAAAGACGCCACGCGUGGCGUUCCGAGAGUACCCGAAGAAAAAGCAUCGGCUAACUCCGUGCCAGCAGCCGCGGUAAUACGGAGGAUGCGAGCGUUAUCCGGAUUUAUUGGGUUUAAAGGGUGCGCAGGCGGAAGAUCAAGUCAGCGGUAAAAUUGAGAGGCUCAACCUCUUCGAGCCGUUGAAACUGGUUUUCUUGAGUGAGUGAGAAGUAUGCGGAAUGCGAGGUGUAGCGGUGAAAUGCAUAGAUAUCACGCAGAACUCCGAUUGCGAAGGCAGCAUACCGGCGCUCAACUGACGCUCAUGCACGAAAGUGUGGGUAGCGAACAGGAUUAGAUACCCGUGUAGUC
Molecule: ribosomal RNA, 459 nt
Filed under: uncultured bacterium
Lineage: Bacteria
Description: partial 16S ribosomal RNA
Rfam family: Bacterial small subunit ribosomal RNA
Source: RNAcentral